This 251-nucleotide ribosomal RNA is filed under the name uncultured Agrobacterium sp. RNAcentral describes it as "partial 16S ribosomal RNA". It matches the Rfam family "Bacterial small subunit ribosomal RNA", at positions 524 to 774 of the family's 1533-position model. The record is from RNAcentral. Lineage: Bacteria; Pseudomonadati; Pseudomonadota; Alphaproteobacteria; Hyphomicrobiales; Rhizobiaceae.
UACGAAGGGGGCUAGCGUUGUUCGGAAUUACUGGGCGUAAAGCGCACGUAGGCGGAUAUUUAAGUCAGGGGUGAAAUCCCAGAGCUCAACUCUGGAACUGCCUUUGAUACUGGGUAUCUUGAGUAUGGAAGAGGUAAGUGGAAUUGCGAGUGUAGAGGUGAAAUUCGUAGAUAUUCGCAGGAACACCAGUGGCGAAGGCGGCUUACUGGUCCAUUACUGACGCUGAGGUGCGAAAGCGUGGGGAGCAAACA